CAGAUUUAUGUUUGGUUCACA
This 21-nucleotide non-coding RNA is filed under the name Arabidopsis thaliana (thale cress). The record is from RNAcentral. Lineage: Eukaryota; Viridiplantae; Streptophyta; Magnoliopsida; Brassicales; Brassicaceae.